UUUGAACGCUGGCGGCAGGCUUAACACAUGCAAGUUGAGCGGGGUGAUGGUGCUUGCACUAUCACUUAGCGGCGGAUGGGUGAGUAAUGCUUGGGAAUCUGCCUAUUAGUGGGGGACAACAUCUCGAAAGGGAUGCUAAUACAGCAUACGUCCUACGGGAGAAAGCAGGGGAGCACUUGUGACCUUGCGCUAAUAGAUGAGCCUAAGUCGGAUUAGCGAGUCGGUGGGGUAAAGGCCUACCAGGGCGACGAUCGGUAGCGGGUCUGAGAGGAUGAUCCGCCACACUGGGACUGAGACACGGCCCAGACUCCUACGGGAGGCAGCAGUGGGGAAUAUUGGACAAUGGGGGCAACCCUGAUCCAGCCAUGCCGCGUGAGUGAAGAAGGCCUUCGGGUUGUAAAGCUCUUUCGGCCGGGAAGAAAGCGCACAGGCUAAUACCUUGUGUGGAUGACGGUACCGGAAUAAGAAGCACCGGCUAACUACGUGCCAGCAGCCGAAGUAA
Molecule: ribosomal RNA, 502 nt
Filed under: uncultured bacterium
Lineage: Bacteria
Description: partial 16S ribosomal RNA
Rfam family: Bacterial small subunit ribosomal RNA
Source: RNAcentral